RNAcentral lists this ribosomal RNA (253 nucleotides) under uncultured prokaryote. RNAcentral's name for it is "partial 16S ribosomal RNA". It matches the Rfam family "Bacterial small subunit ribosomal RNA", at positions 524 to 776 of the family's 1533-position model. The record is from RNAcentral.
UACGAGGGGGGCAAGCGUUGUUCGGAAUUAUUGGGCGUAAAGGGCGCGUAGGCGGUGCGGUAAGUCACCUGUGAAACCUCUAGGCUUAACCUAGAGCCUGCAGGCGAAACUGCCGUGCUGGAGUGUGGGAGAGGUGCGUGGAAUUCCCGGUGUAGCGGUGAAAUGCGUAGAGAUCCGGAGGAACACCAGAGGCGAAAGCGGCGCACUGGACCACAACUGACGCUGAGGCACGAAAGCGUGGGGAGCAAACAGG